GGGUGAGAUUAUAUCAGAGAGUGCUGUGUGAUAGGGUGAGAUUAUAUCAGAGUGCCGUAUAAUGGGGUGAGAUUAUAUCAGAGAGUGCUGUGUGAUAGGGUGAGAAUAUAUCAGAGUGCUGUGUGAUAGGGUGAGAUUAUAUCAGAGUGCCGUAUAAUGGGGUGAGAUUAUAUCAGAGAGUGCUGUGUGAUAGGGUGAGAAUAUAUCAGAGUGCUGUGUGAUAGGGUGAGAAUAUAUCAGAGAGUGCUGUGUGAUAGGAUGAGAUUAUAUCAGAGUGCCAUG
This is a non-coding RNA of Pelobates cultripes (western spadefoot toad), 282 nucleotides long. The record is from the annotation of a GenBank genome assembly. NCBI's taxonomy places the organism in Eukaryota, Metazoa, Chordata, Amphibia, Anura, Pelobatidae.